GUAUUGUGACAUCUGGCAACACUGGUCAAGCGUCUAUUUCAGGGCUGUCCAAACUCGGUCCUGGAGGGCCGGUGUCCUGCAGAGUUUAGCUCCAACUUGCCUCAACACACCUGACUGGAAGUUAUGUCUAGUAAGGGCUUGAUUAGCUGCUUCAGGUGUGUUUAAUUAGGGUUGGAGCUAAACUCUGCAGGACACCGGCCCUCCAGGACCGAGUUUGGACAGCCCUGGUCUAUUUCAUACCGGCAAAAAUAGUAGGAAUCUAAGCUGGGAACUGUGUUUGAAACACAGACCUGACGGACACAUUUCGAGGAUGGCUGUAUUAUGUCCCAAGACAAGUGUGACAUUCAACAGACGACUGUUUUAAUCAUUUCUGUACAUCGGACGGGAGAUAAUAUAACGUUGCACUCCUGCUGCAUCUCUCCUGGGCAUUUCUCUUCCCCUCACAACCUAACGGCAUUUUGCUGUGGUACGGGAACUGUCUCCAGGCUGCACAGCUUCAGAGCUCCCAGAAUUCUCCCCAUCAAAUGUGGUCACUUUUGAUAUCAAGCAGGGCCCAUGGUGAUCUGCAUGCCACUAUAUGGACACUGUCCAUGCUGACCACAGGACUAGAAACCCAGAGCACUGCGUGGGGCACCAUAGAUAAGUGCACUCUG
This is a long non-coding RNA of Sinocyclocheilus grahami, 653 nucleotides long. The record is from Ensembl. Lineage: Eukaryota; Metazoa; Chordata; Actinopteri; Cypriniformes; Cyprinidae.